RNAcentral lists this ribosomal RNA (461 nucleotides) under uncultured bacterium. RNAcentral's name for it is "bacterial SSU rRNA". It matches the Rfam family "Bacterial small subunit ribosomal RNA", at positions 28 to 491 of the family's 1533-position model. The record is from RNAcentral.
GAUGAACGCUGGCGGCGUGCUUAACACAUGCAAGUCGAGCGAAGCACUUAUGAUGAUCCUUCGGGUAAUUCAUUUGUGACUGAGCGGCGGACGGGUGAGUAACGCGUGAGUAACCUGCCUCAUACAGGGGAAUAACAGUUAGAAAUGACUGCUAAUGCCGCAUAAGCGCACAGGACCACAUGGUCUGGUGUGAAAAACUCCGGUGGUAUGAGAUGGACUCGCGUCUGAUUAGCUAGUUGGUGAGGUAACGGCCCACCAAGGCGACGAUCAGUAGCCGGCCUGAGAGGGUGAACGGCCACAUUGGGACUGAGACACGGCCCAAACUCCUACGGGAGGCAGCAGUGGGGAAUAUUGCACAAUGGGGGAAACCCUGAUGCAGCGACGCCGCGUGAGUGAAGAAGUAUUUCGGUAUGUAAAGCUCUAUCAGCAGGGAAGAAAAUGACGGUACCUGACUAGGAAGC